GGUGGGGCAUAAAAUGGUAAAACAUGCUGCACAUCUGUUUAUUUUGCUUACACAAUAUUGUCAAUACAAAAUAGUUUUAUUCUGCCAUACAAGUGAGAGUUUAAACUAGCUUUAACACAAUGCUAUUGCUACAUUUUCAUACAUCACAAAAUACCUGUAUCAAGUUUGGAAAAUGACAGUUGUUAUCUAUUAGUUUGAUGUGUUUGGGCGUUUGAUUUUUUCAUUUUGAUUAAGGACUUUGCUUUUCGGAUUUUCCUCAGAGUUAAGUAUGUCAAUCACUAUAAAUUCCAUUAUAUUGACAACAAUGUGUGAACAUAACAAAAUGACAUCGUCAAAAUUAAAGACUACAACAAUAAAUAAUGUGUUAUCAUCACUGUUAAAACAAACAAAUGUGUCAACAAAAAAAAACUAACAAGGCAUAUAGACACAG
RNAcentral lists this long non-coding RNA (430 nucleotides) under Mytilus galloprovincialis (Mediterranean mussel). The record is from RNAcentral. Lineage: Eukaryota; Metazoa; Mollusca; Bivalvia; Mytilida; Mytilidae.